ACAGAUCUUGCUAGACAAUUUCAUGGUGUGUUAUUGUGUUAGUGCUUUAUAUUCGGACAUGUCAUGCUCUAUAGUGUGUUAGCCAAUUUCAUAGUAGAUUACCAGCCAGCAACACCACUCACAAAGGUGACUGUGUGAUUGAUGCUUCCGGGGCAGUGGCUAUCUUCUCAAGAUCAUAGCUCUGGGUAUGCUGUAAAAUUCUACAGAUUUUGUGCUUGUCCUACAGCACUCUACGACAAUCAAACACGAGUGAAAAUUAUACCGUCUUUGUCCCAACUACAGUUCUCCUUAAACACUUGCUAAAUGUUGUAUUUUAACUGUGUUAUCAGAUGGACUCGUGUUCUGACAUGGGCUGGAAUUUUUUUACCUAUGAUUGAAGCUACAUCAGCCGUGAAGAGGGUGGGUAG
This 407-nucleotide long non-coding RNA is filed under the name Zea mays. RNAcentral describes it as "long non-coding RNA (ZMAY_LNC002017)". The record is from RNAcentral. Lineage: Eukaryota; Viridiplantae; Streptophyta; Magnoliopsida; Poales; Poaceae.